GGAAAAAGAACCAACAUGUUUUAGCAUUUUUAAGGCAUCAAUCUGACAUCAAGACAAGAGUGCAACUAAUAGAAUAGAGGGUGCUAUUUCGAGACAGAUUAAACACGAAGGUUAAGAAGUAAAUAUAUUUUAGAACCAAUCUAAAAAGGCAAAACGGAAAGAGGACCAGAUAGGUUGAAAUGUUUCAAUAUUUGAAAGCAACAACAAACAAAGGGAG
Molecule: long non-coding RNA, 217 nt
Filed under: Solanum tuberosum (potato)
Lineage: Eukaryota; Viridiplantae; Streptophyta; Magnoliopsida; Solanales; Solanaceae
Description: long non-coding RNA (STUB_LNC003702)
Source: RNAcentral